GACCCCACCUGGUAGGGGAGAAACAAUGAUCAUGAAGGUUGUGCUCCCAGGAUGAGGCGAUGCCAUUGCAUUCAGGGUGUGUGACGCCUACAAUGUACCCAAAUGCGGGAUACUCGACUGCAAAAUUUAUGGUAGUGGGGGGUUGCGUUUGUGCUCUCCCCUG
Molecule: small nuclear RNA, 163 nt
Organism: Carcharodon carcharias (great white shark)
Lineage: Eukaryota; Metazoa; Chordata; Chondrichthyes; Lamniformes; Lamnidae
Product: U1 spliceosomal RNA
Exons: 1
Source: RefSeq, a predicted model, not a curated record